Molecule: ribosomal RNA, 468 nt
Filed under: uncultured bacterium
Lineage: Bacteria
Description: partial 16S ribosomal RNA
Rfam family: Bacterial small subunit ribosomal RNA
Source: RNAcentral
GACGAACGCUGGCGGCGUGCUUAACACAUGCAAGUCGAACGGAAAGGCCCUGCUUUUGUGGGAUGCUCGAGUGGCGAACGGGUGAGUAACACGUGAGUAACCUGCCCUUGACUUUGGGAUAACUUCAGGAAACUGGGGCUAAUACCGGAUAGGAGCUCCUGCUGCAUGGUGGGGGUUGGAAAGUUUCGGCGGUUGGGGAUGGACUCGCGGCUUAUCAGCUUGUUGGUGGGGUAGUGGCUUACCAAGGCUUUGACGGGUAGCCGGCCUGAGAGGGUGACCGGCAACAUUGGGACUGAGAUACGGCCCAGACUCCUACGGGAGGCAGCAGUGGGGAAUAUUGCACAAUGGGCGGAAGCCUGAUGCAGCAACGCCGCGUGCGGGAUGACGGCCUUCGGGUUGUAAACCGCUUUCGCCUGUGACGAAGCGUGAGUGACGGUAAUGGGUAAAGAAGCACCGGCUAACUACGUG